AGGGCCAUACUCGCCUUUUUCUCCCCAAGUGGGCCGGGUGAUCAUCAUUACUAUCUACAAUACCUCACUGACAAUGCAUGGCCAUGGUAAACCGGACCUGGGCUUCACCCUAGCUGGGAAGAAUGUAAAGCUCGACUGGUUGGCAACAGAAGACAUGUGAGCAUCUAGAGAUUAAUCGGAUGCAUACUCGUGUGGCUCCCGCCCCAUGUGCACGUACGAUCGAAGUGGAGGAGAGGGAACCAAAGCUAGAAGAUCUACUCUUCUAGGAACAAAGUGCAAAAGAGGCUUGGGAGGGAGAGACAAAGCAUAUCAAAGGCAGAUAGUAAUGGAUAGCGGGAAAUUUGCUGUGAAUGAUAUGCUUGCACUUUGAUAAAGCAUGGUGUGCACCAGGAGCAUGAUAUCAAGGUGCGUACAAGUGUGCGUGCGUGGUACAGAAAGAGAUGGAUAGCGAGAUGGCUAGAUAGGCUUUAUCAAAGGUGGGUAGGACAGGAGCAUGCAAGCGAGUAGUUAGCUUGCCUGCUAGCCUAAAGGGCUCGCAUCUAUAUGCAUGUGUGCCCAUCGAUCGCUUCCUUCUGGUGCACAGCACACACGAUCCAGUUUCAAGAGUGUACUGUAUGAUGAAUCGAUCACUCUCUCUCUGCUAGCUAUAUAUCUCUUAGCUAGCUAGCUGAUAGGUUGGAAUUGAUACCUUCCUGGUCUGGAUAUCGAUCAUUGGUGCAAAUAUAUUUUCUUGGUCUGAA
This is a long non-coding RNA of Hordeum vulgare subsp. vulgare (domesticated barley), 740 nucleotides long. RefSeq lists it as uncharacterized. The record is from RefSeq and is a predicted model, not a curated record. The transcript has 2 exons. Lineage: Eukaryota; Viridiplantae; Streptophyta; Magnoliopsida; Poales; Poaceae.